UACAUAGGUGGCAAACGUUAUCCGGAAUUAUUGGGCGUAAAGGGUGCGUAGGUGGUUCAAUAAGUUACUGGUGGCAAAUCGGGGCCCAACCCCGUGGAAGUCGGUAAUACUAUUAAACUAGAGGAUCGGAGAGGUUAACGGAAUUCUAUGUGUAGCGGUAAAAUGCUCAAAUAUAUAGAGGAACACCAAACGGCGAAGGCAGUUAACUAGUCGGUGCCUGACGUUGAGGCACGAAAGCGUGGGGAGCAAGACGG
RNAcentral lists this ribosomal RNA (254 nucleotides) under uncultured bacterium. RNAcentral's name for it is "partial 16S ribosomal RNA". It matches the Rfam family "Bacterial small subunit ribosomal RNA", at positions 524 to 776 of the family's 1533-position model. The record is from RNAcentral.